Molecule: long non-coding RNA, 8182 nt
Organism: Gorilla gorilla gorilla (western lowland gorilla)
Lineage: Eukaryota; Metazoa; Chordata; Mammalia; Primates; Hominidae
Exons: 4
Source: RefSeq, a predicted model, not a curated record
UCUCGCUCUAUCCCCCAGGCUGGAGUGCAGUGAUGUAAUCUUGGCUCACUGCAACCUCCUCCUUCCAGGUUCAAGUGAUUAUCCUGCCUCAGCCUCCUGAGUAGCUGGGAUUACAGGUGUGUGCCACCACGCCUGGCUAAUUUUUGUAUUUCUAGUAGAGACGAGAUUUCACCAUAUUGGCCAGGCUGGUCUUGAACUCCUGACCUCAAGUGAUCAGCCCGCCUUGGCCUCCCAAAGUCCUGGGAUUACAGGCGUGAGCCACUGCACCUAGCCAUUCUGAUUACUCUUUCUAAACUGCACAGCUCAUCCAUGUACCUGCCUUACUUAAAACCCUUAGCAAUUACCUAUUUAUUUCCCUAGCAUAAAAAUCCAAAUUUCCUUACCAUGUCCUGAAAUAUACUCACCUGUGAUCUGGCCCCGAGUUCCUCUCUGAAUUUAUCUCCUGUCCACCUCCCCUCCCACACUUCGCACUCUACUUCAAGCCAUACUCAGCUGCUCAAAGCACCACACUUGGGCCACACUUUCUCUUUUAUAACUUGAAUGCCCUCCUGCUUGCCUGGCAUUCCUUUGGUCCCCUUCUUUGCCUGCUCAGCUCUGACUCCCAUCAGGAAUGAGACCAUAUUCCUCAGGAAACCUCCCUGGUUCUCCUGAGCCAGAAUGGACUCCCUCUGUGCUCUCUUAAGUUGUGGUGCCCUCCUGCCGUGGCAGCUAGGCCGGGGCAUUGUCUGUUUCCCUUGGUGUUCUGUGAGCUCCUCAAGUGUGGGCAGCACAUCUUAGCUUGUUCUGUCUCCCCAGGGUCUGGCAUGGUACCUAGCCCUUGAUUAGUGCUUGCUGAAUAAAUGAAUGAUGGAGUCUCUGUCAUCUCACAGAGUACUUGCAAGAAUUAAAUGACAUGUGAAAAUACUUUGUAAACUGUAAAUGUGUUAGGGACAUUUUUGAGGGUCAAGGGAUUUAGAGAGGAAAUGAGCAUGCUAGGCCUCUGGACAGUGAAACCGAAAGGAUGUUGAGCUGUGGUGUUCUAGGAGAGUACCAGGACUGCUCUGAACAUGACAUACUACCUGGGACUACUUGUGAAAGGAAAUGAGCGUCCUGAGAAAUCACUUUGGGUCCUAUGUACUCAGGGAGGAUUGUUUUUAUAUGGUUCUGGUUUGUUCAGGAAGCACAGUCUGUCCUCCAGUCAGGCACUCAGUGAGCAAAUGCAUUUGUAGCUUGAGGCCAGAGCUUCCUUAUGUUUAUAUGACUCUUUAUUAGGUGAAACAUGCAGACUCUUGGAACAAUAAACUGUCUUUGUUACAGAUGUACACUAGAUUUUGAUGGCAUUUUUCCAGGGACCCUGGGAGCAUCUGUGUUCUCGUGUUCUUCUUGCCUGUGAGGCCUCUUCUCUCUGAGGACAGAUGGUAGGACAGAGAGAAGACAGCAAAUGGAAAACAAAGGCUGCUAUUUUUUUGUGGGGUGUGUACAAUAUCUAUUCUACAUCUCUGCCCAUCCCCAUUUUCUCCUCCUCCAGAGAGCAUACAAUUAAGGCUAGAAACUGAAGUGGAGCCCCCAUUAUUUACCCCUAAAAGUGAAUACAGAUCUCAGCCUCUCAUUACCCCUUGGUUAGAAAGAGAGAGCAUUUUGGUCUGUUUGGGCGACUAUAACAAACAUACCUUAAACUGGGUAGCUUUUAAACAACAGAAAUUUGUUGCUCACAGUUCUGAAGACUGGUAAGUUCAAGAUCAAAGCACCAGCAGAUUUGGUGUCUGGUGAGGGCCCACUUCCUGGAUCAUAGAUGAUGCCUUCUUGCUGUGUCCUCACAUAGUAGAAGGGCAAGGCAGCUCUCUGAACCUCUUUCUUUCCUUUUCUUUUCUUUUCUUUUCUCUUUUCUUUUCUUCUCUUUCCAUUAAUCCGAUCCAUGAGGGCUCCAUCCUUAUAACCUAAUCACUUCUCAAAGGUCCCAUCUCCUAAUACUAUCGAGUUGGAAAUUAGGAUUCAACAUAUUAAUCUGUGGAGGAAGGGGACACAAAAAUUCAGACCAUAGCUGGUAGUGACGGAGAUAGAAUGAGCCAGGUCCCAAUGUGGGGGCAGGUGUGAGGGGCGCAGUAGCUGGUCAUGGACAUGUGGAUGUUUGCUGAGUGAUGGGUGAGCAAGUCCCUGCCACCUCAUAGGGACACUGUAAAAACUGCUCUCUUGAUGACAUUAGCAGUGCAAUCAUAUUAGCAAUGACAUCCACCUUGAGGAGGGAUAAGAUGGGUGUGAACAAGAAGGAUAGUUUCUUUCUCCUUACAGCCUCCAUUAUGUAGCAUAAAAAUUAGGGCCCUCAUGUAUCCAGGAAAGCAGUCAGAGCAUUCAUUAUUCAAUAACCAUAGGUGCUUAUUCCAUACUGUUAUGGACUGAAUCGUGUCACCUCCAAAUUCAUAUGUUGAAGCCCUAACUACCAAUAUGACUGUAUUUGGAGAUAACACCUUCAAGAAGGUAAUCAAGGUUAAAUGAGGUCAUAAGGAUUGGAUCCUAAGCUGAGAGUACUGGUGUCCUUAUAAAAAGAGACACUAGAGAUCUCUCUCUCUCUCUCUUUGUAUACACAGAGAAAAAGUCAUGUGAUGACACACCAAGAAGGUGGCUGUCUGCAAGCCAGGAAGAGAGGCCUCACCAGAAACCAAUCCUGGUGCACCUUAAUCUCAAACUUGAGCCUCCAGGACUGUACAAAAAUAAAUAUUUGUUGUGUAAGCCCCCCAGUGUAUGCUAUUCUGUUAUGGCAGCCCUAGCACACUAAUAUAAAUGCCUACUGCCUGCAAAGUGCUUUGCCUUUGAGGGUUGCAAAAGAGGAUCCCCUCCAGGGAUCCAUGGUCUCAUUGGUAUUUUCCUGUUUGGUUUGUGUCUUGUUCUUGAGUCUCUGCAGGCAGCAUUUCUUCCUGUGACAAUAUGGUGUAAGACAAAAUUGUGGCCUGCCAUGAAGUUGUGAGAGAAAAGCAUCCCUCAUUUCUUCAGGAAAGGCCACUGCCAUUCCCUCCGGCUCCCCUUCUCAGGAGUUUGUGCAUCCAUGAGGUCCCCAGACAAUCCCGGUGUGCACACUUCCCUGCUUCUGUUCAUGAUGUUCUCUGAACCUGGGAUCACCUUUCCCCUUCCUCUUACCUGCCCGAUCCUACUUGUCCUCCCAGAUUCAGUUUUCUGAAGCUCAGAGGGACACCUUGUAUUGCUGGAUGAUAAAAACAGGAGCAAAGUGAUGAAGUGCUGACAAGGCAACAAUAGAACAUGAGAGAUUCACUGCUGUGUAGGAAGAGAUCUUCAGUGACCAUGUAGCCUGAAGCUCUCAUUUUGUCAUCGAGGGACACCAAAACUCAGAACAGGUGUUGUUCCUGAGCACUGGCUUCAAAAACCUUGCUGCUCAUUUAUCUUGUCUCACGGUGGUCUCCCAGGGAACCAACCAAAGACGAGGAGGAGGAGAAUAGUGGUGGGGGUGGGUUGUUGACGUCUGACUUCAGAGAAUUUUUCUUUCAUCACACAAUAAAAUUAAUAAAAUAAAAAGACAAGGAUUCGGGAUGCCCUCGGAGUUCAUCCAUCAUAUUUUCAAAAGGAAAUUUCAAGCCAGCAAUCUUCCCAUCAGCUUCCAGGAGUAUUUUCUAGAAUAGUUGAAGGGUGGUUUUGCCUAAAACCUGGGGGUUGGCAUAGGUGGCCUUUCAAGGAGGCUUCUAGCUUCAAGUUUCUGUCAAUUAUGCUUUGCAUAUCUAAGAGCUGUUUGGGCUGGAGAAUUUCAAAGAAAUUUUCAACGUGCCAGGGUUGAGAUUCAGCGUCUUUUUGCUGAGUGGGCAUUGAUGAGAAAUGCCUCUGAACUCUCAGGGGUGAUGCAGCCCCCUGGCCAGCCUGCCAACUCUACAUACUCUCAUUGCUCCAACGCUGACACGCUUGCUCAAAUUUUUAGGUCUAAUAUGGGCAAAUCUAUAGAAAGCAUUCCAAAAGCUAAGACACUUUUAACUCUCUCCAGAGCAGCCAGAGAUCCUCAUAGCAAAGCCAGGUAACCCCAGGGGCCAGGGGCACCUUACACACUAUCCCUGAGGGGCCGAGUCGGCUGAAAUCAGCCUGCACCCUGCUUGCCAGCCGUGCGCGGGGACACUGUGUCCACUUGGAAGACUGAAUGCCUUUCUCCAAUUUCACACUGACUACUUCCUCCCUGCCAAAAGCACACCUUCCCUCCAUCUGAAGAAAUAAAAGGAGCUUGGGGCCCCAGCAUGAACGAUUGCCAGGGCCUGGGACACACCUGUCAUGGGCAGGUUUGUCCAGAGUUCACAGAGCAUAAAGACUUAAUCUGCUUUCACAUUAAAUAGGCUGAUCUGAUACGACAACAAUUUCCCACUGUUAUUUGAAUGGCAAACAGGAUUUAGAGCACAAGGGAAGGAACUUUUUUGUAUAUAUAACUUUUCAUGCAGAAAGUUCACAGAGUUUACCUGUAAUCUUAGCUCACAAUCAGGCAAAAGGAUUAGAGCUGGGCAUGUAGAGCUUAUCAAAAAGCUCAGAGGGAGACCAAAGGAGGGCAAAUGCAAUUUUUUCUUUCCUUUCUUUUAUGCCCAUGUCAAAAUGCACGCGUUGGUCAACAUCUUGAAAACUCUCCAGCGGAGGUAACUCUACCUUCCUGUACCUUCAUGCCUGGCUUCUUCUACCAUCCUGUACCACCUUCCUGUACUACAACUAUUAGGUAGGUGCAAAAGUAAUUGCAGUUUUUGUCUUUAAAAAAAAAAAAAAAAAAGGCAAACACCGUAAUUACAUUUGCACCAACCUAGUACUUGAGGAUGAUGAUAGAACACUGCCAGAGGAGUACUGCAGCCCCAGCCUCAUGGCCAGAGCAUCUUGGUCACUCUGAAGGGGCAAGUAGGCCUUAUGUAAGGAGCAGGGCAGGCCACUUCUGGUGAAUUGCAUACCUUGCAGUGAGACAUGGGCUGAGGGUCCCGGGAUUGGUGAGAAAGGUUAGCAUGUUUGUGCCCCAAAUCUUCAGUCUGAGGAGGAUGGGAAGAACCUCUCUAGAAACACUAAAGUCAAUGGGAAAUGAACUUGGGCUUGAGUUAUUUUCUGAUCAAUUUGAUUUAAAUAUAAUGUUAAUAAAAAGAAUACAUAAAACUAAUAGCCUGAAUGACAGACCCAGUGGAUAUGACUUGCUUGGGGAAUUCGAGUGACUCUGGCUUUGAGUUUAAUAUGGCUUUUAUUGAAGAAAUUUUUCUUUAAUGGUAAAGAAAAGAAGUAAAUCACUAACACCUUAGCAAGAGUGAGUUUGUCAUCUGGAAUCAGGGGAACAAGAGAAGAGGGCUGGGAGUUGUGUGGGAGUUAGGAUGAGGGUAGACAGGAAUCUGGAAGUGAAGGGGAAAGGCCUAAUAAGGGAGUUUGUUCCCAUCCUGCAAGCUCAACUUUUUCAUGAACUUUUUCAGAGUUAAAAGAGCACACUAUAUUCAGUCCUAGCCUCUGUUUUGUAGCCGAAGUGUUGGGAAAUGUGCAUUUCCUUGUUUCUGCACAAUAGGGGUGCCUCAGACCUCCAGACAUAAACAAUGUAUCCCGCAGGCCAAUGCUUCUGAGUCAGGUUUGGGCCACAGGAUCCCACCAGAAUCAAGGAACAGCCAGCCUUACUGAAAACCAAGCCACCCUGAGCAAAUCCAUUUUGAAUUCCAAAGUUAAUGUGAAGCACCUAUGAAAAUAAACAUAGGCAGAAGCAACUGUUAGAGGGAACACCGUUGCUCUAUUUGUUCUGUGGGGGCUAUACCUAGAGGAAGCUCUCCUCCUACAAACAGAAUAGACCAUAGGAUCUGGAGAAAAGAGGCAACAAAUCAGCCAGAGAGUAUGUAGCUCUAGAUUAGUUGGGCUUCUUGUGUUCCUAAAUGUUUUUCUUCACAAAAGCCCCUUGGUCAUGUGGCAGUCCAUCUACCCGUCCAUUUGUCCAUCAAUCUGUGCAUCCACUCAUCCUUCCAUCUAUUCACUCAUCAUCCAUUCAUCCACACAUCUAUUCAUCCACCCAUCUCUCCACUUAUCAUCCAAUUAUUCAUUAAUCCAUCCAUCCAUCCACUCAUCUAUUCAUCUAUGAUGCACUCACUCAUGUAUCUAUUCAUCCACUCAUCUAUCCACCCAUCAUCCAUUCAUCUACCCAUACAUUCACUUAUUCAUCCAACUGUCUGCCCAUUAUCUACCCACCCAUCCCCCCUACCUAUCCCCCUACUCAUCUACUUCUCCAUCCAUCCCCCAAACACUACUUGAUACUCAUUACAUGUGCCAAGCUAAGGACAGCUGGUCAAACAUACUUAUCUACUCACUGGGUGGGCAGGAAGUAGGGUGUUCUCUUUGGUAAAGGAAAUGGCUGACAGACAUAAUAAGGCUCAGUAAGAUGCAGUAGAGCACAGAGAUAAAAAACACAGGCUUCAUCAUUAGUCCAUCACUUUCUAGCUAUGCAGGAAAGUUACCUAACUUCUCAGCACCUCAGUUCUGAGGUGAAGGAAUAAUAGUUCCUGCUUUACAGGGUUGUGGUAGGAAUUAAAUGAUUCAAUGAAAGCUAAGUGCUUAGCACAGUGCCUAGCACAUAUGAUGUGCUCAAUAAAUUUUAGCUUGUGUUAUUAAAAGUAGAACGUCUGGAGAACCAGAGUGAAUUACGUAAUCUAAAGAGGCAGCGGGAAAAGGGGUUUCUUAACCCAUUUCCCAUUUGCCCCGGAACACUUGCAGCUGCAGAGUUUACCCCAAGAUAACUCACAGAUUACAGUCCUAAUCUUACCACCAAAGUUUGCCAGAGAAUAUUUUGCUUUUAUUAUUAUUUUUGCAUCGCUGUGGUAUAUUGACUUUGGAAAAAAAUACAUCAUUCCAUUUAUAGCAUUCUGUUUUUAGUAGUGGUGUUUCCGUUUAUAAAAUAUAGUCAUUCUUGAUCACGGAAAAUGUCAAAUCCUAGAAAAUGUAGCAUUCCUAUGCAUAAUGUUAAUUCUGUGGUGAGCUUAUGGCACUGAAAUGGUGUGACAAGAAGGAGGUGACAAUGUUGUCAACAUUCCACAAUGAUACUGUGAUUGAAGUAAACAACAGAAAUGGAAAGAAGACUAAGAAGCCAUGUGUCAUUGUGGAUUAUCACGAGAAUGUGGGAGCAGUGGACUGGCUGAUCAGAUGCUCACUUCCUAUCCAACUGAGCACAAAAGGCACAAGGUUUGGUCUAAGAAAUUCUUUUUUGUUUAUUUAUUUACUUAUUUUGAGAUGGGGUCUCACUUUGUCGCCAGGCGGGAGUGCAAUGGCGCGAUCUUGGCUCAUCGCAACCUCCACCUCCUGGGUUUAAGUGGUUCUGCUGCCUCAGCCUCCUGGGUAGCUGGAAUUACAGGCAUGUGCCACCAUGCCCAGCUAAUUUUUGUAUUUUUAGUAGAGACGUGGUUUCUCCACAUUGGUCAGGCUGGUCUCUAACUCCUGACCUCAGGUGAUCCACCUGCCUUGGCCUCCCAAAGUGCUGGGAUUACGGGUGUAAGCCAUGAUGCCUGGCCUUAAUUAUAUGUAUACUUUUUUAUUUUUGAGAUGGAGUCUCGCUCUGUCGCCCAGGCUGGAGUGCAGUGGUGCAAUCUCGGCUCACUGCAACCUCUGCCUCCCGGGUUCAAGCAAUUCUCCUGCCUCAGCCUCCCGAAUAGCUGGGACCACAGGUGUGCACCACCACACCCAGCCAAUUUUUGUGUUUUCAGUAGAGACAGGUUUUACCAUGUUGGUCAGGCUGGUCUCGAUCUCCUGACCUCAGGUGAUCCACCCACCUAGGCCUCCCAAAGUGCUGGGAUUACAGGCACAAGCCAUCUGCCCAGCUGGUCUAAGAAAUUCUUUUGUCACCCUCUAAACAUUGCAGUGCUAAGCUCCUACAUCCUGUUCUGGAAGGACAAUCCUGAGCACAUGAUGAGCCAUAUAAACUUCAGACUGACGCUGAGUGAAAGAAUGCUGGAAAAGCAUCACAGGCCAGGGCAGCAAAGUCUUCAAGGUCAUCCGUGCUCUGAUGAUGUCACGCUUCUUCCCUGUCUGGAAGACAUUUCCCCAAGAGCAUACCACCAACAUCAGGGAAAUGGAAUCCAACUGGUCGCUGCAAAGUUUGCUGAGCACACAAUGAUAAAGAUGGCAAGAAGGUCCUGAGAGAAACGCAAUAUUUUUAUGCAGAAUGGGAUGUUCUGCCUUUGUCCCAUGCUUUGAAAUUUACCACAUGAAAAAUAAAAUUAAAUACUGAUCAUCA